GAUGAACGCUGGCGGCGUGCCUAAUACAUGCAAGUCGAGCGAACGGACGAGAAGCUUGCUUCUCUGAUGUUAGCGGCGGACGGGUGAGUAACACGUGGAUAACCUACCUAUAAGACUGGGAUAACUUCGGGAAACCGGAGCUAAUACCGGAUGAUAUUUUGAACCGCAUGGUUCAAAAGUGAAAGACGGUCUUGCUGUCACUUAUAGAUGGAUCCGCGCUCCAUUAGCUAGUUGGUAAGGUAACGGCUUACCAAGGCAACGAUGCAUAGCCGACCUGAGAGGGUGAUCGGCCACACUGGAACUGAGACACGGUCCAGACUCCUACGGGAGGCAGCAGUAGGGAAUCUUCCGCAAUGGGCGAAAGCCUGACGGAGCAACGCCGCGUGAGUGAUGAAGGUCUUCGGAUCGUAAAACUCUGUUAUUAGGGAAGAACAUAUGUGUAAGUAACUGUGCACAUCUUGACGGUACCUAAUCAGAAAGCCACGGCUAACUACGUG
RNAcentral lists this ribosomal RNA (497 nucleotides) under uncultured bacterium. RNAcentral describes it as "partial 16S ribosomal RNA". It matches the Rfam family "Bacterial small subunit ribosomal RNA", at positions 28 to 507 of the family's 1533-position model. The record is from RNAcentral.